RNAcentral lists this ribosomal RNA (253 nucleotides) under uncultured bacterium. RNAcentral describes it as "partial 16S ribosomal RNA". It matches the Rfam family "Bacterial small subunit ribosomal RNA", at positions 524 to 776 of the family's 1533-position model. The record is from RNAcentral.
CACGUAGGGCGCGAGCGUUGUCCGGAAUUAUUGGGCGUAAAGAGCUCGUAGGCGGCCUGUUGCGUCCGCUGUGAAAGCCCGGGGCUUAACCCCGGGUCGGCAGUGGAUACGGGCAGGCUAGAGGUAGGUAGGGGAGAAUGGAAUUCCCGGUGUAGCGGUGAAAUGCGCAGAUAUCAGGAGGAACACCAAUGGCGAAGGCAGCUCGCUGGGACGGUACUGACGCUGAGGCGCGAAAGCGUGGGGAGCAAACAGG